UUGAUAUUUUUUUAAUUUUUGGCAAAAAAAUUAUUUUUGAGAAGCUUCAUCCGUCGCCAACUUCACCCCAGAUAAAAAGUGUGUUUUUAAAUGAAGAUUUUGCGGAGAAAAUAACAAGCUUGAAGACGAUGAGACUAAAAGUUAAGUAUUUAAGAUUGUUUGGAAUAAUAACGAUUUUUUGAACUUUUGAAGUUGAUUUUUUAAUUGAAAUUAAAAUUAAUUGAUUAAGUUUAUCUACGUAUAAGGUAAAAGGCCCAAUAGCGGAACGAGACCCAGUACCGGAACGAUUUCAGGAUUAUUAUAUUAUAUCUUGUUGAGUAUGAUGUGGAAUUUUAAGAAUUUUUAUUUUUUCGAAAUCUCAAUGUUUUGGGUAUGAAAUAAAAUAUAAGUAAAAUUUACAAGUC
Molecule: long non-coding RNA, 404 nt
Organism: Cotesia glomerata
Lineage: Eukaryota; Metazoa; Arthropoda; Insecta; Hymenoptera; Braconidae
Exons: 3
Source: RefSeq, a predicted model, not a curated record